RNAcentral lists this long non-coding RNA (1166 nucleotides) under Lactuca sativa (garden lettuce). RNAcentral's name for it is "long non-coding RNA (LSAT_LNC008778)". The record is from RNAcentral. Lineage: Eukaryota; Viridiplantae; Streptophyta; Magnoliopsida; Asterales; Asteraceae.
CACAUAUAUCAUACUUGACUAAACCCAGAGAUACGGGCUCGGCCCACACUCUAGUACUAGCAUCUCGUCUACACGGGUCGGCCUUGGUGCCUUGGACCCGUUCCUACUGGAAAGGAAACUCACCUCGAAAUAGCUGCUGGUCUGUGUGGGAAUUGAUCACCUACUACUGCUGCUGCUGCUCCGGAAACCCUCCGGCUGCAAUUCCCACAAUAUACUCAAUCAAACACUGCUCACUGACCUUUGGGUAAAAUGACCAUUUUACCCCUGACCUUGCCCUAAGUCAAAGUCAGAGUCAACUUUCAGUUGACCUCGACUCGCCGAGUUGGCUUUCCGACUCGCCGAGUCCCUACGCAAACGACUGCCCUGAAUCCUGGUCCUACUCGUCGAGUUAGGCGACGACUCGACGGGUUCACCUUCUUAACCAAUAUUCAAGUCCUUCAUCCUACUCGCCGAGUUGUAUGAACAACUCGCCGAGUUCAUCUUCAUCCGAUGAACACUUAUGCGAAGACUCGCCGAGUUGUAUGAACAACUCGUCGAGUCUGUUCUUGAUCUAAGGAGAUUGCCUUGAACUCGCCGAGUCAGGGCAUUGACUCGCCGAGUACCUCCAUAGAUGAGUUAAGCUUCCGACUCACUGAGUCACACCCCGUGACUCACUGCUCACUCGACACUACGAAAAGGGGACAAACUCGGAGACUCGCGAACAGACUCGCCGAGUCAUAUGAACGACUCGCCGAGUCGUUGCCAUGCACCCACUGAAUACACGGAUUUGCUCGAUUCCAGUCCAUGCCAUUCAUAGAUCUGGACUUCUAGGACACGAAUCACACGUAAAGUUUCCAACUUUACGUGUGGAUAUUCACCAAUAUGGAUUUUAGGGCUCAAAAUGUCUCAAAAGGGUAGAUCUAGGGCUAACAAGCAACAUGGGGCCAAAAAGCUAACAGAUCUGAGCUCCUGGAGCUCAAUCUUGCCUAGAUCCAAAGGCCAAACGCCUUAUUACGACAUAUAAUGCACAUACAAACUUGGGGAAAUGACCAAGAAGGACCCAAAUGAAGUUUUAAGCAUAGAAUCAAGGGGAAAACGGGUUAUACCUCAAAGGAACUGCUGGAAGGACACAAAUAAUGCUUGGAUGGCUUCCCUUCUUCUGGAUCUACUUCCUUCCUCUUUCAAAG